GCUAGAGAAACAGAGAUAACAUUUUAUAAAGGAGUUAAAGGCUUUUAUUUUUGAAUUGUUGUGUUUUGCUUCCCCUAGCUGUUUUUUUUUUUUUUUUUUCCAAAGAGCACUGAAGACUUAAUUGCCAAUCAGAGAAGGAACAUCAAGAGCAAGGCUAUUCGCUUUUUGACAAAAAUCUUUCUUUUGCUCUCUCCUGCCCUGGUGGAAAAACAUGCAGAGGAUGAAACAAUUCCUUGGAUAUUCUCUGUGUAUGCACACUCUGGACCCCCAUACUCAGAAAAGGGAAAAAGGUUCCAAUGAGGAGAGUUAAUUGAUAAGUGGACUCUGGAUUUGCUGGGAACUGAAUUUUACUUUUGAGUCCAGGUAUAGGGCUGAGCCUCUGUGAACACUGCAAGACAUCAAAUGGGUCGGGGCCAGCACUAUGGCAUAGUGGGUAAAGCUGCCGCUUGCAGUGCCAGCAUCACAUAUGGGGGUCGAUUCGAGUCCUGGCUGCUCCGUUUCCGAUCCAGCUCUCUGCUAUCGCCUGGGAAAGCAGUGGAAGAUAGCCCAAGUCCUUGGGUCCCAGCACCCACAUGAGAGACCCAGAAGAAGCCCCUGGCUCCUGGCUUUGGAUCAGCACAGCUCCGGCCUGUUAUGGUCAUCUGGGGAGUGAACCAGCAGAUGGAAGAUGUGUUUCUCUCUAUAUAUCUCUGCCUCUGCCUCUGCCUCUUCUUCUCUCUCUCUCUCUGUGAAACUCUUUCAAAUAAAUAAAGUAAUCUUUAAAGAAUAAAAAAAAAUCAGAUGGGUCACUCUUUCCGUGUAUCUCCAAAUUAAAUGACUCAACCCUCAGCAUAGCCAUUCAUUUUCCACCAAGGAAAAUGAGGUUAGCCUAUAGAAUCAGCGUCAACUGCUUUAUGCAGGAUUCAGAGGAGAGGUAUGAAAACCAUUCGCACGGGAGACCAGGAGGAAGCACCUGGCUCCUGGCUUCGGAUCAGCACAGCACCGGAUGUAGCGGCCAUUUGUGGGGUGAACCAACGGAAGGAAGACCUUUCUCUCUGUCUCUGUCUCUCUGUCUAACUUUGCCUGUUAAUAAAAAAAGUGACAGAAUCUGACUUUUCUGAUAUCUAUGGCAGCUGCAGAGACUAUGAUCAAGAAGUCAGAUAGGCAUACAUUUCUCCAAACUUAUGAUGAUGUUUUUCUCAAAUCAUUAAGGUAGAGCAAUAUAACGAUGGCCCUAUUGCACAAGGGAUUUGGAACUAAUUCUCCACAAUAUCCAAUGACUAUCAAAAAAUGACUAGGGGGCAGUCUGUGGGGAAAGCUAGAUUCAUGGGCCUCCAAUUAUAGAAAUUAUUCAAUGCUUAUACAGUUACACAGGACAAUGGUGUUUGCAUGUACUGCAGUAAAGUGAAGCAACGAUGCUACUUUUCUUUUCUCACUCAUUAUCUACAUCUUGUUUCUCCCAGCCCUCAUGUAUUUUCUUUAAUAUAAUAAUCUCUUUUUGAAUCUGAUUUUCUACAAAUGAGAGAUCACAGGAUAUAACUGCAUUUUAGAUCCAUCUUUUCUCUUUCUAUAUCUUUUAUGAAAGUCUGUGGCAAGUUGAAAUAAAACCAUGUAAACAUUGUACUGAUUAUUUCUCUGGGUAGAUAAAUAUUUCUACUUCUAAAUUCAUAAAUAAAACCUUUUGGAAAAAUGACUAUAGUAUAUUAUAAAAUCCAUGGACAAAUUUCCAAUCAGGCCAACACUUUGUUGUAUAUUCCAUCCCAAAUAUUAAUUCUACUUAACAGUGUCUGUAUUUGGUAGUAUCUGAAGCCCCCGCAAUGAGGGACUUGAAGAAAGAGAUCAUUACUUCAGCAAUAGAAUCCCAUGUGUUAACAAAAAUGUGUUGUUGCUCAAAUAAAUUUUUCCCAGAUCCCUGAUUUUGCCAAUUGUGUUUUUAGACUCAGUAACUUCUGUCGACUCAACACUUAGCCUGAAGCAUGACACACAGCUCACACUCAAUAAUGUUUUCAGGAGACUUUUGUCCAAGUUCCCUUUCUCUUUAACAGGCAUAAAUCAGAAUAUGGGACUGGAAAUGUGUCUGUGGAACAAAAAAUAAGUGUCAUACAA
Molecule: long non-coding RNA, 2085 nt
Organism: Oryctolagus cuniculus (rabbit)
Lineage: Eukaryota; Metazoa; Chordata; Mammalia; Lagomorpha; Leporidae
Source: RefSeq, a predicted model, not a curated record